CAGAAGAGAACAACUUUAAAGAUUACAACAAGAACCAAGUGCUCCUUUGCACAGGGACUUUUCCGGAAGGAUUGAAGAGAGAAAACCACGUGGACCUGAUGCCGUUGGACUAGCCUUCAGUUCUGCCGUUGGCUCUGGAGUGUGACAAUGGUGUUUGUGUAAAGUGAAAUCAAACGCCAUUAUCACACUAAAUAGCUCGGGUGGGAAUCAGCUGCACACAGGCCUAUUCUGCACAAAAUCUCCCCAAUCCCACCUAUUCGGUCGCUUUCAUCCGACGCGGGAACGUUAAUUUUUCACCAAACAAUGAAACUGAAGCGUGCUGUUCAGCAAAGCAAUUACACUCUGGAUACCGAUAAGAAGACCUGCUUAGUCUCGUAUUUAAACCAAGCCCUCCGUUAUUACUCGUUUACCCUCGUCUAUUUGUAAAUGAUUCUAAAACCACAGCUUACCUUCAGAGUUUAAGGUGCUUCUAUGGCGAGAAAUAAAUUGAUGUAAUUACAGAAAAUGAUCGGUAAAACCAAAUGACUUCCUUGCCA
Rhincodon typus (whale shark) is the source of this 536-nucleotide long non-coding RNA. RefSeq lists it as uncharacterized. The record is from RefSeq and is a predicted model, not a curated record. Lineage: Eukaryota; Metazoa; Chordata; Chondrichthyes; Orectolobiformes; Rhincodontidae. The transcript has 2 exons.